RNAcentral lists this ribosomal RNA (253 nucleotides) under uncultured bacterium. Its description in RNAcentral is "partial 16S ribosomal RNA". It matches the Rfam family "Bacterial small subunit ribosomal RNA", at positions 524 to 776 of the family's 1533-position model. The record is from RNAcentral.
UACGUAGGGGGCAAGCGUUGUCCGGAUUUAUUGGGCGUAAAGGGUGCGCAGGCGGCCGUGUGUGUGAGGCGUGAAAGCCCGGGGCUUAACCCCGGAAUUGCACCUCAAACUAUACGGCUAGAGCAUUGGAGAGGGUAGCAGAAUUCAUGGUGUAGCAGUGAAAUGCGUAGAUAUCAUGAGGAAUACCAGAGGCGAAGGCGGCUACCUGGACAAUUGCUGACGCUCAGGCACGAAAGCGUGGGGAGCAAAAGGG